GGAUCCGUCUGGAAAAACAUUGUUACAACAACACCCGCCACCCCGGUCGCAGAGGGAGACUGUGGGCCCUCCGACCUACAGGGGCAUCGCUGAACGUCCUGGCAGCAGAGGGACAGGGGAAAGCGCUGGAUCUUCUACCCCUGAAGUAAGGAUCUUCUGAAUCACUGAGGAGGAGGCUGACAAACUGUGGAACUGAAAGUGGCGUAGGAGGAUCUAUGGCCAGCAUAGAUGAGCAAUGAUCAUGUUCAGACUGAGUGGUGACUUUAUUGGUUACCUUCUGUAUCUCAUAAAAUGGCCUUUGAGUGCAUGUCCGUGGUCAGCUGCAGCUGUACCCCAUCCACUUCACAGUUCGACCUGUUGUGCUUUCGGAGAUGCUUCUGUACACACUGUUGUAACAUGUGGUUACAGUAUUUGAGUUACUGUCACUGUCCUGUCAGCUUGAACCAAUCUGGUCAUUCUCUGACCUCUCAUUAAGGCAUUUUCACCCACAGAACUGUCACUCACUUUUUUUUUGUUUUUCACACCAUUCUCUGUAAACGCUAGAGACUGAAAAUCUCAGGGGAUCAGCAGUUCCUGAGAUACUCAAACCACCCCAUCUGGCACCGGCAAUCAUUCUACAGUCAAAGUCACUUGGGUCACAUUCCUUCCCCCAUUCUGAUGUUUGGUCUGAGCAACAACUGAACCUCUUGACCACAUCUGCAUGCUCUUAUGCAUUGAUUGGCUGACUAGAUACCUACAUUAAAGAGCAGGAGGGUACUGGUGUUUGUAGUAAAGUGGCCACUGAGAGUAGGAGCAGGAUUAGGCCUCUCGGCCCAUCGAGUCUGUUCUGCACAGUAAACGGUAGGGCAGAGGGGCCCACUCCUGCUCGCAUUUUCUUGAUGGGCUGAACGGCUCCCUUUCAAGGAAAUAUUAAGUAUAGAACAGGGCAACAUGGGAAGAGGCCAUUUGGCCUGCAAAGUCUGUGCUGAACACAAUGCCGUAAUAUGCUCAUCUGCCUGUUCAUUGGUCCAUAUCCCCCUCUCUACUCUCUGUAGAUUCAUAUGUCUAUCUUGUGAAUGAGAAUCAGGUUUAAUAUCACCGACAUAUGUUGUGAAGUGUUUUAACUUAGUGGCAGCAGUACAUUGCAAUAUGGUAUAUACAAACCCCAUUUCCAGAAAAGUUGGGGCAUUUUCUAAAAUGCAAUCAAAACAAAAAUCUGUGAUAUGUUAAUUCACAUGAACCUUUAUUUAACUGACAAAAGUACAAAGAAAAGAUUUUCAAUAGUUUACUGACCAACUUUGUAAAUAUACACAAAUUUAGAAAUUGAUGGCUGCAACACACGCAACAAAAGCUGGGACAGAGGCAUGUUUACCAUUGUGUUACAUCACCUUUCCUUUUAGUAACACUUUUUAAUCGUUUUGGAACUGAGGAUACUAAUUGUAGUAGAUUUGCAAUUGGAAGUUUUGUCCAUUCUUGCUUAAUAUAAGACCUCAGCUGCUCAACAGUCUGUUGUCUGAUCCUCUUCAUGAUGUGCCAUACAUUUUCAAUAGGAGAUAGAUCUGGACUGUCAAGCUCACGUACUCUGUGUCUACAAAGCCACGCUGUUGUAGCCCGUGCAGAAUGUGGUCUGGCAUUCUCCUGCUGAAAUAAGCAUGGAUGUUACGGGAAGAGACGUUGCCUUGAUGGCAACAUAUGUCUCUCUCAAAUCCUAAUAUACGCCUCGGAGUCAAUGGUACCUUCACAUACAUGCAACUCACCCAUGCCGUGGGCACUGAUGCACCCCCAUACCAUCACAGAUGUUGGCUUUUGCACCUUUCGCUGAUAACGAUCAGGAUGGUCGUUUUCAUCUUUGGCACGGAGAACUCGAUGCCCGUUUUUUUUCUGAAAACUAGCCGAAAUGUGGACUCAUCUGACCACAGCACACAGUUCCACAGUCUUUUGGUCCAUUUGAGAUGAGCUCGGACCCAGAGAACUUGCCGGCGUUUCUGCAUAGAGUUGAUGUAUGGCUUCCUCCUUGCAUAAUACAGUUUCAAGUUGCAUUUCUGGAUGCAGCGACGGACUGUGUUAAGUGACAAUGGUUUUCCGAAGUACUCCCGAGCCCAGGUGGCUAUAAUUGUCACAGUAGCAUGACGGUUUCUUAGGCAGUGCUGCCUGAGGGCUCAAAGAUCACACGCAUUCAACAGUGGUUUCCAACCUUGCCCUUUAUGCACUGAGAUGUCUCUGAAUUCUCUGAAUCUUUUCACAAUAUUAUGUACUGUAGAUGUUGAAAGACCUAAAUUCUCUGCAAUCUUGCAUUGGGAAAUUGAACUGACUAACAAUUCUCUCACAAAUUUUGGCACAAAGGGGUGAGCCACAACCCAUCCUUGCUUGCAAAGACUGAGCCUUUGAUGGACGCUACUUUUAUACCCAGUCAUGAUACCUCACCUGCUACCAAUGUGGAGUCUUCCAAACCAGUGUUACUUAAAUAUUCUGUACACUUUUCAAGUGUUUUUUGGUGACAUACCAAUUCUCCUCAAACUCCCAAUGAAAUACAGCCACCGUCGUCCUUAAAGAUCAUUAACUUGUCUGCAUCCAACACCAGCCCCAACAGUGCAUUCCAGACUGGAGUGGGACGAGUUGGGAGGGAGAGGGGAAGAUGAGGGGUGGAUGGUAAGAGAAGAGGAGGUAGAGGGGUGGAUGGUGUGGGACAGAAAGGUGGAGAAGAAAUUGAAGAGUGAGGGGUGGAUGAAACGAGACGAGUAGGAAGGGAGAGGGGAAGAUGGUAAGAGAAGGGGAGGAGGAAGGGUAGACAGUGCAGAGGGAAAGAUGGAGAAGGAAGGGGACAGUGAAGGGUGGAUGUAGCAGGACGAGUACAGAAGGUGAGGGGUGGAUGGUGUGGGACAGAAAGAUGAAGAAAGAAGGGGAGAGUGAGGGGUGGAUGUAGUGGGACGAGUAGGGAAGGUGGGGGUGGAUGGUAAGAGAAGGGGAGGAGUAGAGGUGGAUGGUGUGGGACAGAAAGGUGGAGAAGGAAUGGAAGAGGGGUGGAUGGAGCGAGACAAGUGGAAAGGGAGAGGGGAGGAUGGUAAGAGAAGGGGAGGAGGAGGGGUAGAGUGCAGAGGGCAAGAUGGAGAAGGAAGGGGACAGUGAGGGGUGGAUGGGGCGGGAUGAGUGGGGAGGGAGAGGGGAAGGUGAGGGGUGAAUGGUGGGGAGGGGACAAUGGUUAAGAGAAGGGGAGGAGGGGGUGGAUGGUGUGGGACAGAAAGGGAAGGGUAAGCACUGCAGAUGCUGGAUUCUGGAGCAACUAACAAUGUCUCAGAGGUUGACCAAUGCCCGUGGAGGGGAGAGGAACUGUCAACAUUUGGGGUGAAUGCUCCAAAUCUCACCUGACUAAUGCCUUCCAAAGCCUCAGUGUCACACCCUUGCCUCUCUGGGAGGAGGUGUGUAUGAAAGUUUGAAUGAGAGGGUUAGCAGAAUAGGGAAGUGGACAGGGGUGUGGCAGUGAGGAUUGUUUAGUAACCGUAUUCCCAGCAAUUUGUGUUUUCCUUUCAAACUUCCAGCAUCUGCAGCUCUUUUAUGUGAAAGAGGAGGAAGCGCUGGUUUGAAGUGGUGCAGUAGGGCGAGGAAAAUAUUUGUGAGAAGCUGAGACCAGUGUAGAGAUGGCAGAGACCACAGACAUUGGAAUUUGGAGCAAUUCGCAAUCUGCUGGAGGAACUCAGCAGCUCAGGCAGCAUCUGUGAGGCAUGAUGACAGUCGCCAUUUCAGGUUGAGACUGUCCUCUAUCUCAAUGAGUCAUACAACAGGAAAACAGGCCCUUUGGCCCAUCCAAUAGCCCUAUCUAAACUAGGCCUAUUUGACUCAUAUACCUCUGAACCUUUCCUCAUCUGUGUACCUAUCCAAAAGACUUUUAAAUAUUGUUAAUGUAGCGGCGUCAACCAUUUCCACCAGCAGCUCGUUCCACAUACGGACCACCCUCUGGGUGGAAAAAUGCAGGGUGCUGGGACCAGAGGCAAGGGUUGGACCACUUCUGCUCACUGCCCCAUGGGUUUACUCAGCUCUGCACUGAACUGAAGUUGUGGCCUGCUCCAGCUGCAAUAAUGCCGGGCUUCAUGUCCUUGGGCUCACUUUUGUUCUGAAUGCUAUUUGCUUACUUUUAUUGUCUGCACAAUUUGUUUUUUUUCUCUCUGCACAUUGGUUGUCAGACUGUUUUUUUUAAAAAUAGGUUCUAUUGGGGUUCUUUGUUUUGUGCCUGCUUGACAGGAGUCAUGACUCAAGGAGUGUAUAUAGUAUACAUACUUUGAUAAUAAAUGGACUUUGAACUUUGAAAAGAUGUUGCUGGGGUUCCUCUUAAAUAUCUGCUCUCUGACCUUAAACCUGUGUCCUCCAGUUCUUAAUUCUCCAACUCUGGGGAAAUGAGUGUACAUUCACCCAUUGAUGGACCCUACUUUUAUACCCAGUCAUGAUACCUCACCUGCUACCAAUGUGGACUCUUCCAAACCGGUGUUACUUAAAUAUUCUGUACACUUCAGUUUCCGAUGCUCUAAGGGAUAAAGUUCUAGACUGCACAACAUCCCCCUCAAGUACACAGAUUUGCUAUGAUCAGAGUCCAGCAAAUUUUGACGUAGCUACCAUGGUCAGCAUUCUAACUGGUUGCAUCGCUGUCCGGUAUGGAGGGGCCACUGCACAGGAUCAGAAAAGGCUGCAGGAGGGUUGUAGACUCAGCCAGCUGCAUUACCACCUCCCCACCAUCGAGAAAACCUUCAAAAGGCGGUGGCGUCCAUUUAUUAAGGAUCCCCAUCACCCAGUACAUGCAAGGCAGCGGAGGUUCGAGAUCAGAGGUUUCCUUCUCCCCUAGAUGAGCUGCCAACCGCGGCUGACGAGUCCCGUCUGCCCGAAGCGACUGGUUUUAAGGCGCCAGAAACCAAUUAUGUCAGUAAAUGAGGUUCUGCUGGGCUCAGUUGUAAAGCCACACGUGACGGCCAGGGUCUGGAUUUGGUUGUCACAGGCUAUUUGAGGCGCACCCCAUUGGUCGCAUUAAUAGGGAGUGGGAGCAGCAAAAGCCACAAGCAAAUGAGACACAGAAUACUAAACGUCAAACCGCAGUCAUUGAAACAAGCUACAAAUGUUCAGUUUUGUUCAAUUUAACGCUGUCAUUCACUGACUAAGCCAGUCCGCCCCCGAUCAAAAUCACAGAAAAUAGUAAUAUAACCAGAAACAUUUAACACAAACGCGAACUGCAGAAUCCUCUAAAAAUGAAUCCAGCCCAAAAACCACACUGAUCAAACUUUGACCAAGACCCAUGGCUGACUUCACGCUCAUCCUCGUAGAUUUCGAUCUUGCUCAGUAGGUGAGAAAUGGAGCUGAUUGUGGGUCUGCGCUCUGCCAUUAGGCUCCGUUCUCGACCUCGUUGAGAGGGCAGUGGAUAUGUGGAAUGAGGUGUUGGAGGAAGUGGUAACAACAUCUAAAAAUGUUUAGAGAUGUAUGUGGUUAAGAGAGGUGUGGGCCAAACAUGACAACUGGGACUAUGUCACUCAGUGUGGACUCGUUAUUCUGAACAAGUCGGUAGGAAGGUGGGAAAGGGUUUUCAAAGAUCAAAGUAAAUUUAAUAUCAAAGUCAGCACAUACAGAAUCAGGUUUAAUAUCACUAGCAUAUAUCACGGACUUUUUUUAUGCUACUGCAGUACAUUGCAAUACAUAAUUAUAACUGUAAAUUACAGUAAGUAUACAUAUUAAAAAAGUUAAAUUAGUAGUGCAUAAGAAAGAAAAAAAAUAGGUAGUGUUCAUGGGCUCAAUAUCUAUUCAGGAAUCUGAUGGCAGAGGUGAAGAAGCUAUCCCUGAAUUGUUCCAUGUAUGCCUCCUCCCUGGUGUGGUCUUGCAGACAUACUCAAUAAAUCUAAAGAAUGAUAGUCAUAACAGGAUCAAUGAAAGACCACACCAACUAGAUGAUAUUCAACCAGAGUGCAGAAGACGACAAACUGUGUAAAUACAAAAAAGAAAUAAUAAAUAAAUAAGCCAUAAAUAUCAAGAACAUGAGAUGAAGAGUCUUUGAAAGUGAGUCCAUUGGUUGUGGGAACAUUUCAAUGACAGGGCAAGUGAUGCUUAAUGAAGUACAGUUAUCCCAUUGGUUCAAGAGCCUGUUACUGUUGUUGGUUCUAAUUCUACUCCUAUAUCUAACAGUCUUAUUAAGGCAGAGAUUGAUAGUUCCUUGAUCGUUCAGGGUUACGGGGAGAAGACAGGAGACUGGGGCUGAGAGGAAAAAUGGAUCAGCCGUGAUGCAAUGCCAGAGCAGACUCGAUGGGCCAAAUGGUCUAAUUCUGCUCCUGUAUCU
This is a long non-coding RNA of Hypanus sabinus (Atlantic stingray), 6283 nucleotides long. RefSeq lists it as uncharacterized. Lineage: Eukaryota; Metazoa; Chordata; Chondrichthyes; Myliobatiformes; Dasyatidae. The transcript has 2 exons. The record is from RefSeq and is a predicted model, not a curated record.